AUCAUCUUUUGAAGCAACGUUUUCUCCAGAUGCUUUGCCAUCAGCCAGAUCCUCUGACGGCUGUAGUGUUUGGCUGGGUUUCCGCUUUAACCCUGCUUCAUGGCGCCGCUCAUGUCGCCGCCGGUUAAUCUGUGUGCCAAAGGCUUUCCCACAGGGUUGCUAGUUCUGGAGGCACCUCCUGACUGGCCACCUCCUGGAGGGUGGCCGGCUGCUCAAGUGCUGAGGCUGAAGGCUUCUCUUCGUCUUCUUUAGGACCUAGAAAGCACAUGGAAGCAGAAGCAUGGAAGUGAAGCAUGGGAAACCAGCUACUUGGUGAACAAUCUGAAUGAUUCAAGUUAUUUCUCUUACCACCUAAAACAUAAGGGAGAUGAUGAUGAACAAUAAAUUACUUCUACUUUAUAUACUUAA
Molecule: long non-coding RNA, 408 nt
Filed under: Homo sapiens (human)
Lineage: Eukaryota; Metazoa; Chordata; Mammalia; Primates; Hominidae
Description: non-protein coding lnc-LRRC38-2:1
Source: RNAcentral